UUUUGCAGCUCAGGGGUAGAGCACUUGCCUAGCAUGCAUGAGGUCCUGAGUUCUAUCCCCAGCGUUGGAAAAU
Molecule: transfer RNA, 73 nt
Filed under: Marmota monax (woodchuck)
Lineage: Eukaryota; Metazoa; Chordata; Mammalia; Rodentia; Sciuridae
Description: tRNA.Ala
Rfam family: tRNA (bases 7-62)
About the family: Transfer RNA (tRNA) molecules are approximately 80 nucleotides in length. Their secondary structure includes four short double-helical elements and three loops (D, anti-codon, and T loops).
Source: RNAcentral